RNAcentral lists this ribosomal RNA (404 nucleotides) under uncultured bacterium. RNAcentral's name for it is "bacterial SSU rRNA". It matches the Rfam family "Bacterial small subunit ribosomal RNA", at positions 355 to 776 of the family's 1533-position model. The record is from RNAcentral. RNAcentral also lists the same sequence under 1 other name.
UGGGGGAUAUUGGACAAUGGGGGCAACCCUGAUCCAGCGACGCCGCGUGAGGGAAGAAGGUUUUCGGAUUGUAAACCUCUGUUGACGGAGAAAAAAAUGAUGGUAUCCGUUUAGAAAGCCACGGCUAACUACGUGCCAGCAGCCGCGGUAAUACGUAGGUGGCAAGCGUUGUCCGGAAUUACUGGGUGUAAAGGGAGUGUAGGCGGGAUAUCAAGUCAGAAGUGAAAAUUACGGGCUCAACUCGUAACCUGCUUUUGAAACUGACAUUCUUGAGUGAAGUAGAGGCAAGCGGAAUUCCUAGUGUAGCGGUGAAAUGCGUAGAUAUUAGGAGGAACACCAGUGGCGAAGGCGGCUUGCUGGGCUUUUACUGACGCUGAGGCUCGAAAGCGUGGGGAGCAAACAGG